UAAUCUGACUCGUUGCAUAAAAAACUUACCCUUGGCAAAGCAAAUAAAUCCUAUCAGGAGGUUUUGUAUUUCCUCAAUGCUCAAAUAGUUUUUUGGCCGUAAAUAAUUGAAAACAUCGUUAAAACUUCACUGCUUGAUUUAUUACGCUCUAAAUGCAUUAGGAAAUUCCAAUUGGCUUUGCAAAAGUGAUCAAAGCAAAAUGGAAAUACGGUUUUCUUCGGUUUACUUUCCGGAUGCCUUGUUAGUUGCUCUCUACUUUGCUUUGUUAAUUAACACACUUCUCCCCAUCGGCCAUGAACCACACCCCCACCCCACUCUCCGCCCACCGCACAUGCAACUCAUAAAUAACGGUACGUUUUCCUUAUUUUCUUGGUGGUGGAAAAUGCCUCCAAACGAAACGGAAAAUCCACGCAGACGUCUAAAGUUUCUGCUUUUCUUUCUUACUUUUAUUUAAGUGUGCAACUCUUUCGUCUGGCACCUCGGCAUCACUGCUCUUCUUUUUCUUUCAUUGACUGCACACAAUUUUUCCGCAGUUGCUUCCUGGUCUUCUCUUUCUUUUCUUUUAUUUUCUCGUCUCGUCUUUGUGAUUGUGUCAACUUUCUUUCUCCUGCAAAGUGAGGUUCUUUCGCCGAGGUCGCUUUUGUUGCGAUUCAAAAAUAAACAGAAACUGCAGGGGCGAUAGCGUUGCCAGAUGUUUGUUGCAAGGCAUUGCCAUAUCGGAUUGCAUAAUCCGAGAUUGCUUUGCUUUGUGGUGUGUCAACCCUGUCCGCUGCAUUCUAUUGCAGAAAUAAAUACAAAUAAUGAGUAAUUGAAGACAAACAGCGAGGAGAAACCCAGACAAUGGAGGCUGGGAAAGAGGCGACUGCCCCGAAACCCAAAUCCUAAAAAAACGCGAUCGGAUCCGCAGUCAAUGGAACUUCCAACUGGCAACUGGGGGCCACUGAAAGAAGGCGGCACGCGCCACAGGCGUCUGUAAUUGAUUAUCUUUGAUACAGCGGGCACUCGAUCUGUGAACCCAAAACCAAUAGCAUUACAUCACUCUCCCAUAUUUAAUUUGCUUGCAUAAAUACAAUAUGUAUAUAUUCCCAUCUAAACUCGUACACUACACAUAGGAAGUAUUGUACAGACGAUAAAGCAAACACUUUUAUUUUUUUUUUUCGCUUGCCUUUGGAUACUUGAUUAUAAAUGUUUGACGAUGAAUGAAUAUAUACAUACGUAACCAAAUACAAUAAUAUAAAGCAGAAAUAGUGGGUGCGGGCUGAAUCGUGUCUGUUAGUGUCUGCCAGUUGAUCAGCAUUAUUGAGCACAUGGCUCAGAUUCGUAUUUGGUAGUCAGAGUGUGCUGGUGGGGUCUUUCCAGAACUGAAACAGCAAUGGCCAUUAAAAUGUUCUUUUUCCUGCAGAGAUUGAGUAUUUUUUGAGCUUGAAUUUUUUGUAUUUUGCGCUAUCAUUUCUUGUUUGCCAAACGAUAUCUCUCUUAUGUCUUUGCAUUGAAGUUGGCAUUGAAUUGUUUUACGUCUGAAUGGCCAAGAAACAAAAGUAUACCAUAAAAAAGUGAAAUCUAUGGGUGGUUAGCAAUGUCUGUUUUUGCUUUAAUCGUUGAUUUUGGUUUUUGUUUCUGUCCGCUUUUGUUUCGUUUUUACAAUUAUUUUCGGCUAUUUCACGAUAACUUUUUCUCCCAAAAAGUCUCGAACUCCCUCGGUUUUUGGAGCAUGUUGCAAAGGUGUGCAAUUAUAGUCUGUUGCGUCGUCAGCACGAAAGCGGCCAUUAACACAAUAAACUCUGGCAGUCUGACUUGUGGCUUACAACAAAAAAUAUCCACAAAACAAUUAAACAUGAGCUGGCAAAAUGGAAAUUACAACAACAAAAGCCGUUUAACAAUUGAGCCUAAGAAAGUCAUGACUGGACGAGAGUCAACUAGCUGAUUGAAAUGAGGGAACAAGGGGAAAACUUAUAUCUUCAGGGCCUCCUCUCCAGCUUUAUGAAAUUCACUUAUUUACGCUUUCUUAACUCGAAUAAGAAACAAGAGCGGAGAGUAAAAACUUUUCUGACAAAAGUGAAGGAAGUUAAGUGCCAGAGAAGUAAGCCCUGUUGUUAAUGGCAAGAUAUUAUAAUGCUCGUUUCUGUUUCAAUGGUGCGGAUACAGUGCGUUUCGCAAUCCUAACCACCUUAUGAAACGAGAAAAUAAUAAUAAAGAAAAUAAUUACGAUAAAUAGAAAGAUAAACACCAAAGAAACCUGUUCAGGAGAGCUAUUAUUACCCAAAAUGGUGCGGGCACUUGGUUCGUGUUGGUUUGUAACUCUAUUUGUAUUCUGGUAAAUUUAAAUGGGUAAAAUUUUAAUUUUCUUUAAUUACCUUACCUUUUCUGAACUCAUACUUAAUAAUACUUAAAUGUAACAAAAGUUAUUAAAAAUGCUACUCAAAUAACAAAUAACAACAUUUAUCAAGUUUACUUUUUCAAUACUCCUUAUUUAAUGCUAUCUUUACCAUAUUUGUUAACACACAUUAACAUUAACUGUUCUGAAAUCCACUGCACAAUAUUACACGUUUUAUACAAAUAAAGUGAGUGCUUUAAGCUCAUUUUCACCAUCUGCGCCAUGAAUGGACCCCAUGCGUAUACGACCCGUUGAACAACUCCACUACGAUUACAGAUUUAAUGCAAUGCAACAAUGUGUCUGUAACUCUUUACUUGUGUUUGUAACUGAAUCUCUGUUUGCCUGAGUGAAUGUCUGCCUGUUGCUCGUGCCAACAACAACAUCAUCAACAACAACAACAACAACUACAACAACAAAAAUAAUAGCAACCUGUUUCUUUCGGUGCAUUUAAUUUGGGCCAUAUUGACAUGUGCCGCCACUGCCGACUUUGCUGCCGGCGUCACCGUUAACGACUUCUGCUUCUGCUCGCCGCUGGCCCCAAUUCGAUGUUCUAGUCUAGUAAAGCAAAGGCCGCCGAGGUGGGCCACAAAUGUCGACUGUUGACUGCCAGUCAACAUUACGAAAGUCUUGAUAAACAGCAUUCUGAUGCAAGUCGCUUGAAAGCGACUCCACGAUACCGAACUGUAAGACAGACAUUUGUCAUUUCUAAUCGCUAUUCAAAUUUUGAAUUAACAUUUUGAUGGUUGGUGGUUAAAAUCUGUUGGCAUUUUUGCCCUAGAUUGAAUAAGAUUAUUAUAUUUGUUGUCAAAGCAAGGUAUGUAUCAUCAAGUUUGCAGCUUAUUUAAGAUACUUUAAUCAGCUUUCUGUUAAAAGAUACUCAAAAUCGAUUCUAAUUUACUGCCCGCUAGGCAGGCAUUAGUCAUUUCUGGAACCUGGAAUCAGUAGAGCAUUUGACAAACAUUUGACAUUAAUACUAAUAAUAACUAUUGCAAUUUAAUGGGAAUCAUCAGCUUCACAGCUCUAAGAUUAAUUAAAGACAUUUAACACUAAUGUUUUCCACAUCAGUCUCUAUAAACAUCAUUCUGAUGGCAUUCAACUG
Drosophila gunungcola (fruit fly) is the source of this 3473-nucleotide long non-coding RNA. RefSeq lists it as uncharacterized. Lineage: Eukaryota; Metazoa; Arthropoda; Insecta; Diptera; Drosophilidae. The record is from RefSeq and is a predicted model, not a curated record. The transcript is spliced from 2 exons.